AUUAGAUGCGGCGUGCGGCGGCGAAUGUGAACACGGAGCGGAAGAAUAGAGAACGAUCGAAAAAUCGCAAUCUUUUGGGCAAUCCCGCUUCAUCCGCGUCGAGCAUUAUCCAUCUCCAUCUAAAUUUACAUUUUGGGCUUCUAGAGAAGAAGAAGAGUCGGAUAAAUUAGAUUUUUAUUCGCGUUGAUUGGCAGAAAAGCGGGAAAAGCGUGCACGAUGAGCUUGCUAAUUCAAAUGGCUCUGCCAGCGCUCGUCCUGGUCCUGUUUGCGGCCCCUGGAAUUGGCCAUGAGCUGCAGCUAGGGGAUCAGCUGGCGUUGCCGGGUGGCGGCGCAGACUUGAAGCUGUCCAACAGCGGCGGCACAGAUGAAAACCUGAAUGAGGUGCAGGAGCAGAAGGUUGGUAAUUAGCAACAAUUUCAAAUAUUCUUAUUUACAAAUCCUGAAACGACAGCAACUGAGAGUCUCAACUUUGGAAAUGAAGCAACUUUUGAGACCGAGGCAUCAAAACCUGAAGUCAAAAGUACCUCAGACGUGGUGAAGAAAAACCAGAAACAAUAUGCACUGGAAUUAAGCAUUUUCAUUGUCUUUACAUGGGCAUUCUCAAUCUGCAUAGUUCUGCUGUUUUUGCUGUUGUCUGACUCUGAACCUGCCCAAACCAAGGAAGCAGUCUAAUCGAGGAAUCUGCUCCCUGACGGCGCGUGUGCUGGCACUUUGACCUUUGUAUUGACUAUAUUACAUCGCAUCGUUGUUAGAUCAAGAAGCUUGACCAGAUUUAUUAUUAGAAUUAAUUGAAAAUUAAUAACUAUCUCUUAGUACAAUUAAAAAUUGUAAUAUUUAUUAUUAUGAGAACAUCUGACCAUGCAUAAAAUUAAUGUAUCCAUGAAUUAGGUGAAGGUAAAUAAUGCUAUUUGGAGGCAGAACCUACUG
RNA transcript from Cloeon dipterum, 927 nucleotides. RefSeq lists it as uncharacterized. The transcript has 4 exons. NCBI's taxonomy places the organism in Eukaryota, Metazoa, Arthropoda, Insecta, Ephemeroptera, Baetidae. The record is from RefSeq and is a predicted model, not a curated record.